Molecule: ribosomal RNA, 388 nt
Filed under: uncultured bacterium
Lineage: Bacteria
Description: partial 16S ribosomal RNA
Rfam family: Bacterial small subunit ribosomal RNA
Source: RNAcentral
AUACGUAGGUGGCAAGCGUUAUCCGGAAUUAUUGGGCGUAAAGAGUGAGCAGGCGGUUAAUUAAGUCUGAGGUUAAAGCGUGGGGCUCAACCCCCUAAAGCCUUGGAAACUGAUUGACUAGAGUACGGGAGAAGAGAAGUGAACUCCAUGUGUAGCGGUGAAAUGCGUAGAUAUAUGGAAGAACACCAGUGGCGAAGGCGCUUCACUAGCCCGAAACUGACGCUCAGUCACGAAAGCGUGGGUAGCAAAUAGGAUUAGAUACCCUAGUAGUCCACGCUGUAAACGAUGACAACUAAAUAUUGCCGCGAGGCAGUGUUGAAGCUAACGCAUUAAGUUGUCCGCCUGGGGAGUACGGUCGCAAGACUGAAACUUAAAGGAAUUGACGGGG